This is a transfer RNA of Bathycoccus prasinos, 73 nucleotides long. It matches the Rfam family "tRNA". Rfam says of the family: Transfer RNA (tRNA) molecules are approximately 80 nucleotides in length. Their secondary structure includes four short double-helical elements and three loops (D, anti-codon, and T loops). Further hydrogen bonds mediate the characteristic L-shaped molecular structure. tRNAs have two regions of fundamental functional importance: the anti-codon, which is responsible for specific mRNA codon recognition, and the 3' end, to which the tRNAs corresponding amino acid is attached (by aminoacyl-tRNA synthetases). tRNAs cope with the degeneracy of the genetic code in two manners: having more than one tRNA (with a specific anti-codon) for a particular amino acid; and 'wobble' base-pairing, i.e. permitting non-standard base-pairing at the 3rd anti-codon position. NCBI's taxonomy places the organism in Eukaryota, Viridiplantae, Chlorophyta, Mamiellophyceae, Mamiellales, Bathycoccaceae. The record is from Rfam.
GGGCGUGUGGCAUAGUGGAUAUUGCGUCGGUCUACGAAACCGAAGAUCGCGAGUUCGAUCCUCGCCUCGCUCA